Molecule: ribosomal RNA, 583 nt
Filed under: Lactiplantibacillus plantarum
Lineage: Bacteria; Bacillati; Bacillota; Bacilli; Lactobacillales; Lactobacillaceae
Description: bacterial SSU rRNA
Rfam family: Bacterial small subunit ribosomal RNA
Source: RNAcentral
AACUGGUGAGUAACACGUGGGAAACCUGCCCAGAAGCGGGGGAUAACACCUGGAAACAGAUGCUAAUACCGCAUAACAACUUGGACCGCAUGGUCCGAGUUUGAAAGAUGGCUUCGGCUAUCACUUCUGGAUGGUCCCGCGGCGUAUUAGCUAGAUGGUGAGGUAACGGCUCACCAUGGCAAUGAUACGUAGCCGACCUGAGAGGGUAAUCGGCCACAUUGGGACUGAGACACGGCCCAAACUCCUACGGGAGGCAGCAGUAGGGAAUCUUCCACAAUGGACGAAAGUCUGAUGGAGCAACGCCGCGUGAGUGAAGAAGGGUUUCGGCUCGUAAAACUCUGUUGUUAAAGAAGAACAUAUCUGAGAGUAACUGUUCAGGUAUUGACGGUAUUUAACCAGAAAGCCACGGCUAACUACGUGCCAGCAGCCGCGGUAAUACGUAGGUGGCAAGCGUUGUCCGGAUUUAUUGGGCGUAAAGCGAGCGCAGGCGGUUUUUUAAGUCUGAUGUGAAAGCCUUCGGCUCAACCGAAGAAGUGCAUCGGAAACUGGGAAACUUGAGUGCAGAAGAGGACAGUGGAACUCC